Molecule: ribosomal RNA, 2001 nt
Filed under: Hemilamprops cristatus
Lineage: Eukaryota; Metazoa; Arthropoda; Malacostraca; Cumacea; Lampropidae
Description: SSU rRNA
Rfam family: Eukaryotic small subunit ribosomal RNA
Source: RNAcentral
UGCAUGUCUCAGUACAGACCGAUAAACGGUGAAACCGCGAAUGGCUCAUUAAAUCAGUCGUAAUUUACUGGAUCUCGAUCCAACCUUACUUGGAUAACUGUGGUAAUUCUAGAGCUAAUACAUGCAACCGAGCUCCGACCCCGCCUCGGUGGGGAAAGGGCGCAUUUAUUAGACCAAAAACCGAUCCGCCCCCUCGACGGGGCGGUCGUGGUGACUCUGAAUAACUCAGCCGAGCGCUACGGUCCUUGGACCAGCGCCGUAUCCUCCGAGUGUCUGCCUUAUCAGCUUUAUCGUAAGCUAUGGGCUUACGAUGGCUGUAACGGGUAACGGGGAAUCAGGGUUCGAUUCCGGAGAGGGAGCCUGAGAAACGGCUACCACAUCUAAGGAAGGCAGCAGGCACGCAAAUUACCCACUCCCGGCUCGGGGAGGUAGUGACGAAAAAUACCGAUGCGGGACUCUUCCGAGGCCUCGCCAUCGGAUUGAGCUCAACCUAAAUCCUUGGACGAGAUUCCAUUGGAGGGCAAGUCUGGUGCCAGCAGCCGCGGUAAUUCCAGCUCCAAUAGCAUAUAUUAAAGUUGCUGCGGUUAAAAAGCUCAUAGUUGGAUCUGUCGUCCGGACUGGCGGCCCGCUAAGGGCUAGACCACCGUCGUUGGGCCUUAUAACCCUUCGGCUCGCGUCUGGCCUGGCGGUAAACUGUCCAGCUCCGGAUCGUAAAAUCCGCCGGCGAGCGAGGGAUGCCUAACAGUGUCCCGAGCGCCCCGGCAAGUUCACUUUGAAUAAAUUAGAGUGCUCAAAGCAGGCAAAAACUCACGCCUGGAUGGUGGUGCAUGGAAUGAUGGAACAGGACCUCGGUUCUGCCCUGUUUGUUGGUCGGUUUCUUCGGAACCGAGGUAAUGAUUAAAAGAAACAGACGGGGGCAUUCGUAUUGCGACGCUAGAGGUGAAAUUCUUGGACCGUCGCAAGACGAACUACUGCGAAAGCAUUUGCCAAGAAUGUUUUCAUUAAUCAAGAACGAAAGUUAGAGGAUCGAAGGCGAUCAGAUACCGCCCUAGUUCUAACCGUAAACGAUGCUACCUGGCGAUCCGCCGGCGUCAUACCCACGACUCGGCGGGGAGCCUCCGGGAAACCAAAGGUUUCGAGUUCCGGGGGAAGUAUGGUUGCAAAGCUGAAACUUAAAGGAAUUGACGGAAGGGCACCACCAGGAGUGGAGCCUGCGGCUUAAUUUGACUCAACACGGGGAAACUUACCAGGUCCAGACACCGAAAGGAUUGACAGAUUGAGAGCUCUUUCUCGAUACGGUGGGUGGUGGUGCAUGGCCGUUUUUAGUUGGUGGAGCGAUCUGUCUGGUUGAUUCCGAUAACGAACGAGACUCUGCCCUGCUAAAUAGUCGUCGAAUCGACUCCCGAGACGGGGGCAGCGGGUGCCGUCUCUUCUCUUCUCGGGCGCUCGUUUCCGCCGCCACUUCGGAGUAGUUCUCUUUCCUUCGUCCCAUCCUUUAAACGGGGUGGUCAACGGGGUUGGGGGGCCUUCGGACGCGCGCGCGUGGAGCACGCUCGUUGUUAGAGGGAGUAACGUCUCCGUUCGCUUCCCAACGAGGGGCGUUCGUCGCAAAUGUCUUCUUAGAGGGAUCGGCGGCGUUUAGUCGCACGAAAUGGAGCAAAAACAGGUCUGUGAUGCCCUUAGAUGUUCUGGGCCGCACGCGCGCUACAAUGAAGGGCGCAGCGUGCUAUCCCCCUCCGAAAGGAGCGGGUAAUCCCUUGAAACCCCUUCCCGAUUGGGAUUGGGGUCUGAAAAUAUUUCCCAUGAACGAGGAAUUCCUAGUAAGCGCGAGUCAUCAGCUCGCGCUGAUUAAGUCCCUGCCCUUUGUACACACCGCCCGUCGCUACUACUGAUUGAAUGAUUCAGUGAGGGCAUCGGACUGGCGCCCUCGGUAGCUCUCGAGUCGCUUUCGAGCUCUCGUUCGGCACCUCGGGCUGACGGAAAGAUGUCCGAACUCGAUUA